AACGAACGCUGGCGGCAGGCUUAACACAUGCAAGUCGAACGAUGUAGCAAUACAUAGUGGCGCACGGGUGAGUAACGCGUGGGAAUAUACCUUAUAGUGGGGAAUAACUUCGGGAAACUGAAGCUAAUACCGCAUACGCCCGAGAGGGGAAAGAUUUAUCGCUAUAAGAUUAGCCCGCGUGAGAUUAGGUAGUUGGUGGGGUAAUGGCCUACCAAGCCUACGAUCUCGAGCUGGUCUGAGAGGAUGAUCAGCCACACUGGAACUGAGACACGGUCCAGACUCCUACGGGAGGCAGCAGUGGGGAAUAUUGGACAAUGGGCGAAAGCCUGAUCCAGCCAUGCCGCGUGAAUGAUGAAGGCCUUAGGGUUGUAAAGUUCUUUCGCCGAUGAAGAUAAUGACGGUAGUCGGAGAAGAAGCCCCGGCUAACUUCGUGCCAGCCGCCGCAGUAA
RNAcentral lists this ribosomal RNA (449 nucleotides) under uncultured bacterium. Its description in RNAcentral is "partial 16S ribosomal RNA". It matches the Rfam family "Bacterial small subunit ribosomal RNA", at positions 29 to 523 of the family's 1533-position model. The record is from RNAcentral.